UACAGAGGGUGCGAGCGUUAAUCGGAAUUACUGGGCGUAAAGCGCGCGUAGGCGGCUUUUCAAGUCGAUUGUGAAAUCCCCGGGCUUAACCUGGGAACUGCAGUCGAGACUGUCUAGCUAGAGUAUGGGAGAGGGAAGUGGAAUUUCAGGUGUAGCGGUGAAAUGCGUAGAUAUCUGAAGGAACAUCAGCGGCGAAAGCGACUUCCUGGACCAAUACUGACGCUCAUGUGCGAAAGCGUGGGGAGCAAACAGG
This 253-nucleotide ribosomal RNA is filed under the name uncultured bacterium. Its description in RNAcentral is "partial 16S ribosomal RNA". It matches the Rfam family "Bacterial small subunit ribosomal RNA", at positions 524 to 776 of the family's 1533-position model. The record is from RNAcentral.